GGGGAAUAUUGCACAAUGGGGGAAACCCUGAUGCAGCGACGCCGCGUGGAGGAAGAAGGUUUUCGGAUUGUAAACUCCUGUUGUUGAGGAAGAUAAUGACGGUACUCAACAAGGAAGUGACGGCUAACUACGUGCCAGCAGCCGCGGUAAAACGUAGGUCACAAGCGUUGUCCGGAAUUACUGGGUGUAAAGGGAGCGCAGGCGGGAAGACAAGUUGGAAGUGAAAUCUAUGGGCUCAACCCAUAAACUGCUUUCAAAACUGUUUUUCUUGAGUAGUGCAGAGGUAGGCGGAAUUCCCGGUGUAGCGGUGGAAUGCGUAGAUAUCGGGAGGAACACCAGUGGCGAAGGCGGCCUACUGGGCACCAACUGACGCUGAGGCUCGAAAGUGUGGGUAGCAAACAGGAUUAGAUACCCUGGUAGUCCACACCGUAAACGAUGAUUACUAGGUGUUGGAGGAUUGACCCCUUCAGUGCCGCAGUUAACACAAUAAGUAAUCCACCUGGGGAGUACGACCGCAAGGUUGAAACUCAAAGGAAUUGACGGGGGCCCGCACAAGCAGUGGAGUAUGUGGUUUAAUUCGACGCAACGCGAAGAACCUUACCAAGUCUUGACAUCCUGCGACGAUGCUGGAAACAGUAUUUUCCUUCGGGACGCAGAGACAGGUGGUGCAUGGUUGUCGUCAGCUCGUGCCGUGAGAUGUUGGGUUAAGUCCCGCAACGAGCGCAACCCUUACUGUCAGUUACUACGCAAGAGGACUCUGGCAGGACUGCCGUUGACAAAACGGAGGAAGGUGGGGAUGACGUCAAAUCAUCAUGCCCUUUAUGACCUGGGCUACACACGUACUACAAUGGCGUUAAACAAAGAGAAGCAAGACCGCGAGGUGGAGCAAAACUCAGAAACAACGUCCCAGUUCGGACUGCAGGCUGCAACUCGCCUGCACGAAGUCGGAAUUGCUAGUAAUCGUGGAUCAGCAUGCCACGGUGAAUACGUUCCCG
Molecule: ribosomal RNA, 995 nt
Filed under: uncultured bacterium
Lineage: Bacteria
Description: bacterial SSU rRNA
Rfam family: Bacterial small subunit ribosomal RNA
Source: RNAcentral